GCAUAUCAAUAAGCGGAGGAAAAGAAACUAACAAGGAUUCCCCUAGUAACGGCGAGUGAAGCGGGAAGAGCACAAAUUUAAAAUCUACCUGGUUUUCAGGUCGAGUUGUAAUUUGAAGAUACGUUUUUGACGUUCCGGGUUGGACUAAAUCCUUUGGGAUAAGGUAUCAUAGAGGGUGAGAAUCCCGUAUAUACCAACCGUUGGGAUGUUAUUAAAUACGUUUCUAAGAGUCGAGUUGUUUGGGAAUGCAGCUCUAAAUGGGUGGUAAAUUUCAUCUAAUGCUAAAUAUAAGCGAGAGACCGAUAGCGAACAAGUACAGUGAUGGAAAGAUGAAAAGAACUUUGAAAAGAGAGUUAAAUAGUACGUGAAAUUGUUGAAAGGGAAACGAUUGAAGUCAGUCAUGCUGGUGGGAAUCAACUUAGGGGAAACUCUGGGUGCACUUCUUCACUUGGCAUGUCAACGUCGAUUUUGAAUGUCAUAAAAUGAUUGGGGGAAGGUAGCUCCUUCGGGAGUGUUAUAGCCCUUGAUAGAUGUGAUGUUUGGGGUCGAGGAUUGCAACGGAUACCCUCCGGGGCUAGCCGCCUGAUCUCUAAUCGGUGUUGGGUUAUGGACAGCAUGCUGACCGUGAUCUAAUUACUGGUUAAAAGGUUAGAGCGUGCAUAAAUUCGUUAAGGACGUUGACGUAAUGGCUUUAAACGACCCC
This 703-nucleotide ribosomal RNA is filed under the name Gigaspora polymorphira. RNAcentral's name for it is "partial large subunit ribosomal RNA". It matches the Rfam family "Eukaryotic large subunit ribosomal RNA", at positions 38 to 651 of the family's 3401-position model. The record is from RNAcentral. Lineage: Eukaryota; Fungi; Glomeromycota; Glomeromycetes; Diversisporales; Gigasporaceae.